Molecule: ribosomal RNA, 301 nt
Filed under: uncultured bacterium
Lineage: Bacteria
Description: partial 16S ribosomal RNA
Rfam family: Bacterial small subunit ribosomal RNA
Source: RNAcentral
CAGCAGCCGCGGUAAUGCGUAGGGUGCGAGCGUUAAUCGGAAUUACUGGGCGUAAAGCGUGCGCAGGCGGUUGUGUAAGACAGGCGUGAAAUCCCCGGGCUUAACCUGGGAACUGCGCUUGUGACUGCACAGCUAGAGUAUGGCAGAGGGGGGUGGAAUUCCACGUGUAGCAGUGAAAUGCGUAGAGAUGUGGAGGAACACCGAUGGCGAAGGCAGCCCCCUGGGCCAAUACUGACGCUCAUGCACGAAAGCGUGGGGAGCAAACAGGAUUAGAGACCCGUGUAGUCCCUGUCUCUUAUAC